RNAcentral lists this ribosomal RNA (500 nucleotides) under uncultured bacterium. RNAcentral describes it as "partial 16S ribosomal RNA". It matches the Rfam family "Bacterial small subunit ribosomal RNA", at positions 30 to 523 of the family's 1533-position model. The record is from RNAcentral.
AUUGAACGCUGGCGGAAUGCUUUACACAUGCAAGUCGAACGGCAGCACAGGGGCAACCCUGGUGGCGAGUGGCGAACGGGUGAGUAAUAUAUCGGAACGUGCCCAGUCGUGGGGGAUAACGUAGCGAAAGUUACGCUAAUACCGCAUACGAUCUAUGGAUGAAAGCGGGGGAUCGCAAGACCUCGCGCGAUUGGAGCGGCCGAUAUCAGAUUAGGUAGUUGGUGGGGUAAAGGCUCACCAAGCCAACGAUCUGUAGCUGGUCUGAGAGGACGACCAGCCACACUGGGACUGAGACACGGCCCAGACUCAUACGGGAGGCAGCAGUGGGGAAUGUUGGACAAUGGGCGCAAGCCUGAUCCAGCCAUUCCGCGUGCAGGACGAAGGCCUUCGGGUUGUAAACUGCUUUUGUACGGAACGAAAAAGCCUUGGCUAAUACCCAGGGUCCAUGACGGUACCGUAAGAAUAAGCACCGGCUAACUACGUGCCAGCCGCCGCCGCAG